AGCGCAGGUGGUUGUAUAAGUCUGAAGUAAAAGGCAGUGGCUCAACCAUUGUGUGCUUUGGAAACUGUACAACUUGAGUGCAGAAGGGGAGAGUGGAAUUCCAUGUGUAGCGGUGAAAUGCGUAGAUAUAUGGAGGAACACCGGUGGCGAAAGCGGCUCUCUGGUCUGUAACUGACACUGAGGCUCGAAAGCGUGGGAGCAAACA
This 205-nucleotide ribosomal RNA is filed under the name uncultured bacterium. RNAcentral describes it as "partial 16S ribosomal RNA". It matches the Rfam family "Bacterial small subunit ribosomal RNA", at positions 568 to 774 of the family's 1533-position model. The record is from RNAcentral.